RNAcentral lists this unclassified non-coding RNA (299 nucleotides) under plant metagenome. Its description in RNAcentral is "partial contains 5.8S ribosomal RNA, internal transcribed spacer 2, and large subunit ribosomal RNA". The stretch from base 1 to 105 matches the Rfam family "5.8S ribosomal RNA", at positions 50 to 154 of the family's 154-position model. The record is from RNAcentral.
GAAAUGCGAUAAGUAAUGUGAAUUGCAGAAUUCAGUGAAUCAUCGAAUCUUUGAACGCACAUUGCGCCCCCUGGUAUUCCGGGGGGCAUGCCUGUUCGAGCGUCAUUUCACCACUCAAGCCUCGCUUGGUAUUGGGCGACGCGGUCCGCCGCGCGCCUCAAAUCGACCGGCUGGGUCUUCUGUCCCCUCAGCGUUGUGGAAACUAUUCGCUAAAGGGUGCCACGGGAGGCCACGCCGCAAAACAAACCCAUUUAUAAGGUUGACCUCGGAUCAGGUAGGGAUACCCGCUGAACUUAAGC